This 324-nucleotide ribosomal RNA is filed under the name uncultured fungus. RNAcentral describes it as "eukaryotic LSU rRNA". The stretch from base 1 to 71 matches the Rfam family "5.8S ribosomal RNA", at positions 84 to 154 of the family's 154-position model. The record is from RNAcentral. Lineage: Eukaryota; Fungi.
GUGAGUCAUCGAGUCUUUGAACGCACAUUGCGCUCUCUGGUAUUCCGGAGAGCAUGCCUGUUUGAGCGUCAUUAAAACCUCUCAAUCGAUUUGAAUGUUUGCGCAUUGCAAGUUGAUUGGUAUUGGACGCUCUGCGCGGCACCUUCACGGGUGCUGUGCUUGUCUGAAAGAUAUUGCAACGAAAACGUAAUAAGAAAUUACUUCGUGAUCAGUUUGCAUAUAACCUAAGCUUGUCGAAAUUUUAUUUCUACAAGUUUACUUCUAAUUUUGACCUCAAAUCAGGUAGGACUACGCGCUGAACUUAAGCAUAUCAAUAAGGCGAGG